UGUGCACCACUGUCUAUGGUGUGCACAGAGAACGUUUCUCGGUAUUUUCCAUUAAUAAGAUAAUUUCCCCGGUUGCGGUCAUUCAAUGAGAGAUGUCACCCUGUAAGACAAGCUGGCGGACCCCUCCCACCCUCUCAAGCAAGCAGUGAAAGCCCUGCAGGACAAGCUGGCGUACCUCUCCCAUCGUCUCCAUCGGCCCAGUUCAGCACCACCUUCCAGACAGCAAGCAGUGAAAGUCUUACAGGACAAGCUGUCGGACCAUUCUCACACUCUCCAUCAAGCACAUCAAGUGACAGGCCAAUCUUCCCCCCAGAAGUGUUACAACAAAUUAUUGGAGAAACACUGUGUCUUGAUAUGUCUAUGCUAGGUGUUUUUAACAGAGUAUCAAAAUCUUGCUGUACUGUCUGUCCACUAGCCACUUUUUACCACUGUCUUACUGCUUCACUGUUUGCAUGCUAUAUUAGCACAUAUGCAUAACCCCUCCCUCCAUCCCACAGCCGGAUUGUGGCCACACUUAUUCCUU
Alosa sapidissima (American shad) is the source of this 523-nucleotide long non-coding RNA. RefSeq lists it as uncharacterized. Lineage: Eukaryota; Metazoa; Chordata; Actinopteri; Clupeiformes; Clupeidae. The record is from RefSeq and is a predicted model, not a curated record. The transcript has 4 exons.